RNAcentral lists this long non-coding RNA (280 nucleotides) under Danio rerio (zebrafish). Its description in RNAcentral is "lncRNA si:dkey-78a14.6 (ENSDARG00000105543.2)". The record is from RNAcentral. Lineage: Eukaryota; Metazoa; Chordata; Actinopteri; Cypriniformes; Danionidae.
GCACUCGACUCAACACUGAUGCAGCACCAGGCUAACAGUAAUGAAUAAUGCUGCCCUGAAGAUCAGCACGUUUCUCUCACAUGACCAGUUUCAGUUGUUUUGUCAUUGCAGAUUGUCGAGGAAGCUCCUACGAGAUGCUUGAGCUUGAUCCAGAAUGUCUGGCCAUCUUGAAAUCAACAGACAAUCUUCAAAAGCCAUCCCAAAGUUUCUGGAACCCUCCGCUGGACAACAGAUUACACAGCAGAGACAAAACACAUUACAAUGAUCACAGCUGUUCAUU